Molecule: ribosomal RNA, 305 nt
Filed under: uncultured bacterium
Lineage: Bacteria
Description: bacterial SSU rRNA
Rfam family: Bacterial small subunit ribosomal RNA
Source: RNAcentral
CUUAUCCUACGGGACGCAGCAGUAGGGAAUCUUCCACAAUGGGCGAAAGCCUGAUGGAGCAACGCCGCGUGGGUGAAGAAGGUCUUCGGAUCGUAAAACCCUGUUGUUAGAGAAGAAAGUGCGUGAGAGUAACUGUUCACGUUUCGACGGUAUCUAACCAGAAAGCUACGGCUAACUACGUGCCAGCAGCCGCGGUAAUACGUAGGUGGCGAGCGUUAUCCGGAUUUAUUGGGCGUAAAGGGAACGCAGGCGGGCUUUUAAGUCUGAUGUGAAAGCCUUCGGCUUAACCGGAGUAGUGCAUUGGG